AAUAAAGUGCCUGAAACAAAAGGAUUAUCUUGAUAGGAUAAAUAAUGUAAAAAAAAUUACCUUUAUUA
RNAcentral lists this transfer RNA (68 nucleotides) under Oliarces clara. Its description in RNAcentral is "tRNA-Ile". Lineage: Eukaryota; Metazoa; Arthropoda; Insecta; Neuroptera; Ithonidae. The record is from RNAcentral.